RNAcentral lists this ribosomal RNA (253 nucleotides) under uncultured bacterium. RNAcentral's name for it is "partial 16S ribosomal RNA". It matches the Rfam family "Bacterial small subunit ribosomal RNA", at positions 524 to 776 of the family's 1533-position model. The record is from RNAcentral.
UACGUAGGGGGCUAGCGUUGUCCGGAAUCAUUGGGCGUAAAGCGCGUGUAGGCGGCCCGGUAAGUCCGCUGUGAAAGUCCAGGGCUCAACCCUGGGAUGCCGGUGGAUACUGUCGGGCUCGAGUCCGGAAGAGGCGAGUGGAAUUCCUGGUGUAGCGGUGAAAUGCGCAGAUAUCAGGAGGAACACCAGUGGCGAAGGCGACUUCCUGGCCUGUUCUUGACGCUGAGGCGCGAAAGCUAGGGGAGCAAACGGG